CAGUAGCCACGGGAAUACGUAGGGUGCAAGCGUUAAUCGGAAUUACUGGGCGUAAAGCGUGCGCAGGCGGUUAUAUAAGACAGAUGUGAAAUCCCCGGGCUCAACCUGGGAACUGCAUUUGUGACUGUAUAGCUAGAGUACGGCAGAGGGGGAUGGAAUUCCGCGUGUAGCAGUGAAAUGCGUAGAUAUGCGGAGGAACACCGAUGGCGAAGGCAAUCCCCUGGGCCUGUACUGACGCUCAUGCACGAAAGCGUGGGGAGCAAACAGGAUUAGAUACCCCCGUAGUCCCUGUCUCUUAUAU
RNAcentral lists this ribosomal RNA (301 nucleotides) under uncultured bacterium. Its description in RNAcentral is "partial 16S ribosomal RNA". It matches the Rfam family "Bacterial small subunit ribosomal RNA", at positions 509 to 809 of the family's 1533-position model. The record is from RNAcentral.